UGGGGAAUAUUGGACAAUGGGCGAAAGCCUGAUCCAGCCAUGCCGCGUGAGUGAUGAAGGCCCUAGGGUUGUAAAGCUCUUUUGUGCGGGAAGAUAAUGACGGUACCGCAAGAAUAAGCCCCGGCUAACUUCGUGCCAGCAGCCGCGGUAAUACGAAGGGGGCUAGCGUUGCUCGGAAUCACUGGGCGUAAAGGGUGCGUAGGCGGGUUUCUAAGUCAGAGGUGAAAGCCUGGAGCUCAACUCCAGAACUGCCUUUGAUACUGGAAGUCUUGAGUUCGGGAGAGGUGAGUGGAGCUGCGAGUGUAGAGGUGAAAUUCGUAGAUAUUCGCAAGAACACCAGUGGCGAAGGCGGCUCACUGGCCCGAUACUGACGCUGAGGCACGAAAGCGUGGGGAGCAAACA
RNAcentral lists this ribosomal RNA (402 nucleotides) under uncultured bacterium. Its description in RNAcentral is "bacterial SSU rRNA". It matches the Rfam family "Bacterial small subunit ribosomal RNA", at positions 355 to 774 of the family's 1533-position model. The record is from RNAcentral.